RNAcentral lists this ribosomal RNA (222 nucleotides) under uncultured bacterium. RNAcentral describes it as "partial 16S ribosomal RNA". It matches the Rfam family "Bacterial small subunit ribosomal RNA", at positions 112 to 334 of the family's 1533-position model. The record is from RNAcentral.
CGGACGUGGAUAACCUGCCUCACACAGGGGAGUAACAGUUGGAAACGACUGCUAAUACCGCAUAAGCGCACAGCACCGCAUGGUGCAGUGUGGAAAACUCCGGUGGUGUGAGAUGGAUCCGCGUCUGAUUAGCUUGUUGGCGGGGUAACGGCCCGCCAAGGCGACGAUCAGUAGCCGGCCUGAGAGGGCGACCGGCCACAUUGGGACUGAGACACGGCCCAG